GGAUCAAUUGAUUGGUCAUGCCUACGGUAUGUACUAGUCAUAUUGGUUCUCACCUUCUAAUGAACCUUAAUGUCAUUCACUUGAUGUUUUGGGGAAUUAGGACUGUUACCUUGAAAAAAUUAGAGUGUUUAAAGCAAGUGAAUAACAGCCUGAAUACAUUAGCAUGGAAUAAUAGAAUAG
RNAcentral lists this ribosomal RNA (180 nucleotides) under uncultured Glomeromycotina. RNAcentral's name for it is "partial small subunit ribosomal RNA". Lineage: Eukaryota; Fungi; Glomeromycota. The record is from RNAcentral.